AAUCAACGCGGGCGGCGUGCUAACACAUGCAAGUCGAACGGGAAAGUGGAGCAAUCCAUGAGUAUAGUGGCGACCGGGUGAGUAACACGUGACUACCUACCCUUGAGUGGGGGAUAACCUCGGGAAACCGAGGCUAAUACCGCAUAAUAUCGAGAGAUCAAAGGAGAAAUCCGCUUUUGGAGGGGGUCGCGGCUGAUUAGCUAGUUGGUAGGGUAAUGGCCUACCAAGGCGAAGAUCGGUAUCCGGCCUGAGAGGGCGCACGGACACACUGGAACUGAAACACGGUCCAGACUCCUACGGGAGGCAGCAGUGGGGAAUUUUGCGCAAUGGGGGAAACCCUGACGCAGCAACGCCGCGUGGAGGAUGAAGCCCCUUGGGGCGUAAACUCCUUUCGACUGGGAAAAUAAUGAUGGUACCAGUGGAAGAAGCACCGGCUAACUCUGUGCCAGCAGCCGCGGUAAUACAGAGGGUGCGAGCGUUGUUCGGAAUUAUUGGGCGUAAAGGGCGCGUAGGCGGUGUUGUAAGUCACCUGUGAAACCUCUAGGCUUAACCUAGAGCCUGCAGGCGAAACUGCAA
This 576-nucleotide ribosomal RNA is filed under the name uncultured bacterium. RNAcentral's name for it is "bacterial SSU rRNA". It matches the Rfam family "Bacterial small subunit ribosomal RNA", at positions 28 to 638 of the family's 1533-position model. The record is from RNAcentral.